GAUUUCUGGUUAGUCGCCCUGGCCCGGGGGUUCGCCUCUGAGUGCCGGUGUGUGCUAGCCAUCCUUCUAGAGAGCCGUACGGGACCAUUCAUUUGGCUCUGUGCGUGCGAUCUAGAUCUUUUACUUUGAAAAAAUUAGAGUGUUUAAAGCAGGCUUUUGCUAUGAAUACAUUAGCAUGGAAUAAUAAUCUAGGACUUCGGUUCUAUUUUGUUGGUUUCUAUAACUGAAGUAAUGAUUGAUAGGGAUAGUUGGGGGUGCUAGUAUUGGCCGGCCAGAGGUGAAAUUCUUGGAUUCGGUCAAGACUAACUUAUGCGAAAGCAUU
Molecule: ribosomal RNA, 322 nt
Filed under: Rhogostoma sp.
Lineage: Eukaryota; Cercozoa; Thecofilosea; Cryomonadida; Rhogostomidae
Description: SSU rRNA
Rfam family: Eukaryotic small subunit ribosomal RNA (bases 104-322)
Source: RNAcentral